UUAGUCAGCAUUAGGGUUUUAAACCCUAAACUGAACUUUUUCCAUUUAGUCAGCAUUAGGGUUUUAAACCCUAAACUGAACUUUUCCUUUAGUCAGCAUUAGGGUUUUAAACCCUAAACUGAACCUUUUCUUUUAAUCAGUAUUAGGGUUUUAAACCCUAAACUGAACUCUUUUCCUUCAAUCAGCAUUAGGGCCCCGACCCUAAGCUGAACUUUUCCCCAGUUGGUCAGCAUUAGAAUUUCAACUCUAAACUGAGCUUCUCCCCAGCUAGUCAGCAUUAGGGUUUUAAAACCUGAACUGAACUAUUUCCAUUCCGCCAGCCUUAGGGUUCCAACCCUAAACUGAGUAUUCUUACCUGGUGGCGAUAUCGUCGACCCAAUUCCUUCAUUGAUUCUA
RNAcentral lists this long non-coding RNA (396 nucleotides) under Nicotiana tabacum (common tobacco). Its description in RNAcentral is "long non-coding RNA (NTAB_LNC007819)". Lineage: Eukaryota; Viridiplantae; Streptophyta; Magnoliopsida; Solanales; Solanaceae. The record is from RNAcentral.